GUGCUAGCGUUGUUCGGAAUGACUGGGCGUAAAGGGUGCGUAGGCGGCCAGAAACGUCUGAUGUGAAAUCCCUGGGCUUAACCUAGGAACUGCAUUGGAUACUGUCUGGCUAGAGUCCGNGAGAGGAAGAUGGAAUUGUGCGUGUAGAGGUGAAAUUCGUAGAUAUGCACAAGAACACCGGUGGCGAAGGCGAUCUUCUGGANCGGUACUGACGCUAAGGCACGAAAGUGUGGGGAGCAAACAGGAUUAGAUACCCUGGUAGUCCACACUGUAAACGAUGAAUAUUAGAUGUCGGGGGGGUUACCCUUCGGUAUCGCAGCUAACGCAUUAAAUAUUCCGCCUGGGGAGUACGGUCGCAAGAUUAAAACUCAAAGGAAUUGACGGGGACCCGCACAAGCGG
Molecule: ribosomal RNA, 400 nt
Filed under: uncultured Alphaproteobacteria bacterium
Lineage: Bacteria; Pseudomonadati; Pseudomonadota; Alphaproteobacteria
Description: bacterial SSU rRNA
Rfam family: Bacterial small subunit ribosomal RNA
Source: RNAcentral